CUUGGAUGGACAGUGUAACCACUCAGUCUAGUCAGUACUUCCUCUCUCUGGUUCAUACCACUUUUCUCUGCAUAAACACUAGGCGCCAUUUGUUGUUCAAGACACUGCAAUAGCACUUUCACUUCUCCAUCCAGGGAUGGCUUUGCUUCUUUGGAGCUGUAGAAUAAAACUACUGCAGUUCUGAAAUGCCUUCCUUUUGCCGGCAGGUUGCUGAAUUGUCUGCAUCUUUGGAAGAGCUGGACACCUCCAGUGACAUAUGGAUGUGCUGCACACGUUGCUGGUGCCCUGUGCAAGGUCAAGUGUUUGGAAAGAAGCCCAAACAGCUUCCUGGCUCAGGAAAUGUGGACACAGAGAUGAAGCAGCAGCAUUGGACUACUUUCUUUGCUGUGGUAGGAACACAAACUGGUGAUGGAUUUUGAUCUGCCUGGUACACAAGGAUGUCUACAGGCCUUCAGCAGAUGAUGCUCUAAUCUCCCUUUGGCAUCUCCCUGCCCGUUGCCUGUGCAGCCAUGUGCACAUCUGAGAGCAAAUUUUCUAGGACAGCACUGGGAGAUCCAGAAGGGCCAUGCUGUGCCAGCCCACCUGGCUGCAAUCUGCACAGAAAUCCCUGGUUUGUCAGUCCAGGAGCCCAAAGCAGCUGAAAGACCUUCCCAGAGCCAUGAGCAUGGGGCUUGUCCUAGUGCUGGGAAAUGCUUCUACCCAGUAUCCUUUAAAGCAGACAUCCAGAGCUGCAGUUUAAAAUGUCACUCAGAAAUGUUCUGUGCCUGCAGAUGGAAGGGGGGAGGUGGCAUCUGCCAGCUGUUGGGUUUCCCUGAAAGGCUGUUUUGUCCACUGUGAGACCCCGUUGUCCUCUCCAGAGAUGCAAGUCUAUACAGGAGUUACCCCACCAGAGAGAAAAACGUUGAAUGAUGCAGAGCUGCCCUCCUUAUAAUGUUCCUUCUUGGCUUGCUUAGGCAUUUUUGAAAUUCCUCUGAGCCCCCCCACACAGUGUUUUGUAGAGUCCUUAGCACUGAGUCUCAGCAUGAGCCUCAGUCCCUCUCCCAUCAGCUUUUAGUAACAAUAAAUUGAAAGCAAAUCCAAAUCUUUGCCCCAUCAGAAACCGCAGCUGCAAAGCUGUCCUAUUGUUUCACAAGCUACUUUUAUUUUUGAGCCUUCAGACCUGUGGCAUAUCUUCUGCAAAGGUUAAAUUCAAAAUUUGCUGCACAAGCAUAGUGAGGAAAGCCUGUUUCUCAGCAUACUUGAGAAUCUCCAACCCCCUCCAAAACAAAAUGGAAGUGUCUCUGGUUCAAGGCAGCCUACACGGCAGUGAGCUGCAGGAGCUGUAAGCUAUUAUUUUAGUUCCCAAGAAAAGUAAUUACUAUAGCAACCAACACAUCCGAAUGGCUCUUUGGCUGCUGCCGAGACACAAACAACUUGCACACAAAGGCACAUCAGAGACAUGCUGUGUGAAAUGUUCUCGAGUAGCUCUGUGUUUUCCAGAGCUCUAUAAAGUGUGCGUAACAGGCUUCUGAGAAAUGACUGCCAGAAUAACAGCAAGCAAUUGUGCCGUGCCACAAUCCCAAAAUAACCUAAUCAAUGGCCCAGUAUAUUUGCCCCUGAAGAGAUGAAGAAAAAAAAAAAAGCAGAGGCUCCAUUUUAAGCCUGUGUGCCGGAAAGUUCCCAGCAGAGCUGAAGAUACAUUUAACAAACAGACAAUAAAAUGGUGGGGGAAUGUCUCCGCUUUUGUUCUGCCUGCUGAUUGCUGAUUCCAAUUCCCUGCAGGCUUCACGUGCCAGCUCAUCCCAUCAGGCUUGUACAGAGUGUUGGAAAAAGGGAUUUAAUUACAGUCUUGUAAUGGUGGAGGGUGUAGGAAGCAAUGUCUGCGUUCUUUUCUGUGUCUGUGCAGCAACCAGCCCCCACAGAUCACAUCUCCAGCUGCAGUGCUGGGCACAUCACUGCUGCUCUUACUGAACAAGGAAGUUUCUUGAGCAACACCAAGCUGUAACCACUGGCAUUGCUUAAGUUUUACAGUGUUAGGAGUGUCUCUGUCACAUUCAAAUCAAAAUGCCACUGGUGUGAUAACAGCUUAAGAGCUCCUGGCCUCUGACUGCAAAGCUGCACCACUUGGUGAUGCCGAGACAAACACCCUGGGUUCCCCAAAAC
This is a long non-coding RNA of Serinus canaria (Common canary), 2142 nucleotides long. RefSeq lists it as uncharacterized. NCBI's taxonomy places the organism in Eukaryota, Metazoa, Chordata, Aves, Passeriformes, Fringillidae. The record is from RefSeq and is a predicted model, not a curated record. The transcript has 4 exons.